This 292-nucleotide ribosomal RNA is filed under the name uncultured bacterium. RNAcentral describes it as "partial 16S ribosomal RNA". It matches the Rfam family "Bacterial small subunit ribosomal RNA", at positions 505 to 796 of the family's 1533-position model. The record is from RNAcentral.
GUGCCAGCAGCCGCGGUAAGACGUAGGGGGCCAGCGUUGUUCGGAAUUACUGGGUGUAAAGGGUUCGUAGGCGGUGUGGCAAGUCGGGAGUGAAAUUUCUGGGCUCAACCCAGAGACGGCUUCCAAAACUGCCGUGCUUGAGUGUGAGGGAGGCUCGUGGAAUUGCAGGUGUAGCGGUGAAAUGCGUAGAUAUCUGCAGGAACACCCGUGGCGAAAGCGGCGAGCUGGAUCACUACUGACGCUGAAGAACGAAAGCUAGGGGAGCAAACAGGAUUAGGAACCCUAGUAGCCC